GUCACCGAGUUCAGGUUUAGUAAGGACUGGAGGUGUUGAUAAUGUCUGUUUAAGCUCUUGAAAGGCUAAGUUGCAUUCCUCGUUCCAGUCGAACCCUUUAUUUCCCCUAAGUAGUUUGAAAAAGGGGGAGCACCUGUCAGUUGCCCGGGAAACAAACCUGUUUAGUGCUGCUAUGCGACCUGUCAACUUCUGAAUGUCCCUUUUGCAUUUAGGGGCCUCCAUACUUAUCAGAGCUUGAAUUUUAUCGGGAUUUGCCUCUAUUCCUCUGUGCGUGAUCAUAAAACCCAGGGAUUUUCCAGAUGCCUCCCCAAAUGCACAUUUUGCCGGGUUGAGCUUUAUGCUGUACCUCCUUAACGUAGCAAACACUUCCUCUAGAUCAGAAACAUGGCUACUCGAUUGUUUGCUCUUGACCACCAUAUCAUCCACAUACGCUUCGACUGUUUUCCCAAUUAGCUUGGCGAAGAUUUUGUUCACUAACCUUUGAUAUGUUGCUCCAGCAUUCUUCAGACCGAAGGGCAUGACCCUAUAGCAGUAGAUGGCUGAAUCUGCCAUGAACGAGGUCUUCUCUUGAUCUUCUUCUGCCAUAAGAAUUUGGUGAUACCCCGAGAAAGCCUCCAAGAAGCUGUACAGCAUAUGACCUGACGUGCUAUCUACGAGAUUAUCAAUUCUGGGCAGGGGAUAACUGUCUUUGGGGCAUGCUUUAUUCAAAUCUGUGAAGUCAAUGCAAACUCGCCACUUUCCAUUAGCUUUC
RNAcentral lists this long non-coding RNA (751 nucleotides) under Olea europaea subsp. europaea. Lineage: Eukaryota; Viridiplantae; Streptophyta; Magnoliopsida; Lamiales; Oleaceae. The record is from RNAcentral.